GUGAUAGACGGGAUAAAGAAAAUAUGGCACAUAUACACCAUGGAAUACUACGCAACCAUAAAAAAGAAUGAGUUCAUGUCCUUUGCAGGAACAUGGAUGAAGCUGGAAACCAUCAUUCUCAGCAAACUAACACAGGAACAGAAAACCAAACACCGCAUGUUCUCACUAAUAAGUGGGAGGUGAACAAUGAGAACACAUGGACACAGGGAGG
Molecule: long non-coding RNA, 211 nt
Filed under: Homo sapiens (human)
Lineage: Eukaryota; Metazoa; Chordata; Mammalia; Primates; Hominidae
Source: RNAcentral